ACCUUACCAAGGCUUGACAUCCCUGGAAUCAUUCCAAGAAAUUGGAGAGUGUCCUUCGGGAACGCAGUGACAGGUUGGUACAUGGCUGUCGUCAGCUCUGUGUCGUGAGAUGUUGGGGUUAAGUCCCGCAACGAGCGCAACCCACGUUUUUAGUUGCCAGCAUUCAGUUGGGCACUCUAGAAAGACUGCCCGGUGACAAACCGGAGGAAGGUGUGGANGACGUCAAGUACAUCAUGCCCCUUACGCCUUGGGCUACACACGUACUACAAUGCUGCUGGACAAAGAGUAGCGAUCUUGCGAAAGUUAGCUAAUCUCGUAAACCGUGGCUCAGUUCAGAUCGUGAGGCUGCAACUCGCCUACGUGAAGGAGGAAUCGCUAGCACAUCGCAGGUCAGCAUACUGCGGUGAAUACGUUCCCGGG
Molecule: ribosomal RNA, 420 nt
Filed under: Aphanocapsa sp. Ind52
Lineage: Bacteria; Bacillati; Cyanobacteriota; Cyanophyceae; Chroococcales; Microcystaceae
Description: bacterial SSU rRNA
Rfam family: Bacterial small subunit ribosomal RNA
Source: RNAcentral